Molecule: ribosomal RNA, 253 nt
Filed under: uncultured bacterium
Lineage: Bacteria
Description: partial 16S ribosomal RNA
Rfam family: Bacterial small subunit ribosomal RNA
Source: RNAcentral
UACGGAGGGGGCGAGCGUUGUCCGAAGUUACUGGGCGUAAAGCGCGUGUAGGCGGGUCGCCAAGUCCGCUGUGAAAGCCCGAGGCUCAACCUCGGCGGGUCGGCGGAUACUGGCGGUCUUGAAGGUGCUAGGGGGAGAUGGAAUUACCGGUGUAGCGGUGAAAUGCGUAGAUAUCGGUAGGAACACCAGUGGCGAAGGCGGUCUCCUGGGGCAUUCUUGACGCUGAGACGCGAAAGCUGGGGGAGCGAACGGG